AUGAAAAAUCACACCCUUUCAUUCCUGUGGAGAAGAGGUGGACACUUAUGCCAUGAGGACGGAGGUGUGAUUUCUGUCCAUCCGUACAUCAAGCCCCCAUCACUAUGCUCCUGUGGGUGUUGCACAAAAGGGACCUUGGAUGUGGCCCCCUCUCUGUCUGUGCCUUACAAUCUCCUCUCUGAGCUGCUCAGGCAGGUUUUCAAAACCAUGAUUUCUUUGCAGGUAAGAAAUCUGUGUCUAAUUUCCAGAUUACUUUUGUUUUCCUGCCAACAUUGCCUUUUAAUUUAGCUUUUUCCUCUUUCCCCUUUCUUACUUUGGAGUAAGAAUGGAGGCAUAUAUAUAUAUUAUAUUUACCUCAGCCAUGGUUUUGCAUGGUUGACCAAAGCAAUCCCUUCAGCCUCCUGCCACUGUCGUGCCCUGCUACAGGUGGAGGAUUUCCUCCUGCUAUGGGCACAGUGUGGGCAAGGGAACAGGGUGAGCAGGGCUGGGGCCUGGCUAGGAAGGCCCUGUCCCAGGGUAGGUCAGCACAGUUCCCAGGCUGACACAGCCCAGUGACUGCAGACACAUUCACAGUAAUGAGGCAGGUCUGAGGUCAAGCCAAGGAGUCAGUUUGUAAGUCAGGGUCAAUGAUGUAGCUCGGGCAGAGUCCAAGGGUGAGUGCUGGAGCUUAAAAACAGCUCCUGGGCCAAGGGGUCAAGGCCCUGAAGAGUCUCCUCAUGACUCCUUCCAUGAAGUCUGAUCAGCAAAGUUAACCAACCAAGCUGUGUCAGGCCCUGAUAGUUGGAAGGGGUUAACCAGAGCUCCAGCUGUAAUUACACAUCAAAUCUUUUCACUGCUACUUAUACUGGUUCUCUUCUGUAAAUACCCCUCCCUCCCCCAACAGACCUUCUAUCACAUUUUCCAUAUCCAUAUCAUAUUACUGCCUCAUAGCUUUCCUUUUCCUGGCUGGUCUCACAUGAACUUCCACCUUCUCUGUCACCAGGAUUUUGCAUGUCCCUGUCUAACAGUGGAAAUAACUAUUAUUAAUCCCAAAAUAAGAACUGUUAGAUAUUCAUCUCCAAGUCGCCCCUUCAUUCCUCAGUAAAUCCCAACGCUGAGAUACAGAUUGUUCUCUGGUGCUUUUUAACCUUUUGCUAAAUGAAUGACUGCUUCUUCUGCCAACUGUUUUCUCACCUGAAUCUGGUGUUGCUGCUCUGACGGAGAGAAGAAACUACAGGACUCUGAUUUCAACAAAUCUGCAGUGCACUGUGACAAAUUAUAGCCUGCUUUAUUUGUUUCUAUUUCCUUCCAUUUCCUUCUUUUACCUUGUCCUUUCCACCUAGUUUUUCAAAGAUGAAAUAAUCAUAAUUGUGGGAGUCAUUUUUUAUUCAGAACGUUGCAUCUGGAAUUGAGUUUAGAUAAUGACUCUUGUCAUUUGGGCUGUGCUUUUAAGAAAUUGUGUCGGUAAGUGAAAGUUGUCUCUUUUACAUUAUGGUGUAGGCACUUUGUUGAUUUCUAUUUUGAGUAACAAAGGUGUUUUACCUUUCUGCACAGAUAAAAGGCCCUUUGGCAGAAGUGCAAAGACAUCACAGUUUGGUUUAAUAAACUAACCUUUCAAAAAUGCA
This 1604-nucleotide long non-coding RNA is filed under the name Phasianus colchicus (ring-necked pheasant). Its description in RNAcentral is "lncRNA (ENSPCLG00000003049.1)". Lineage: Eukaryota; Metazoa; Chordata; Aves; Galliformes; Phasianidae. The record is from RNAcentral.